GACGAACGCUGGCGGCGUGCUUAACACAUGCAAGUCGAACGGAAAGGCCCUGCUUUUGUGGGGUGCUCGAGUGGCGAACGGGUGAGUAACACGUGAGUAACCUGCCCUUGACUUUGGGAUAACUUCAGGAAACUGGGGCUAAUACCGGAUAGGAGCUCCUGCUGCAUGGUGGGGGUUGGAAAGUUUCGGCGGUUGGGGAUGGACUCGCGGCUUAUCAGCUUGUUGGUGGGGUAGUGGCUUACCAAGGCUUUGACGGGUAGCCGGCCUGAGAGGGUGACCGGCCACAUUGGGACUGAGAUACGGCCCAGACUCAUACGGGAGGCAGCAGUGGGGAAUAUUGCACAAUGGGCGGAAGCCUGAUGCAGCAACGCAGCGUGCGGGAUGACGGCCUUCGGGUUGUAAACCGCUUUCGCCUGUGACGAAGCGUGAGUGACGGUAAUGGGUAAAGAAGCACCGGCUAACUACGUG
RNAcentral lists this ribosomal RNA (468 nucleotides) under uncultured bacterium. Its description in RNAcentral is "partial 16S ribosomal RNA". It matches the Rfam family "Bacterial small subunit ribosomal RNA", at positions 28 to 507 of the family's 1533-position model. The record is from RNAcentral.